This 513-nucleotide ribosomal RNA is filed under the name uncultured bacterium. Its description in RNAcentral is "bacterial SSU rRNA". It matches the Rfam family "Bacterial small subunit ribosomal RNA", at positions 32 to 524 of the family's 1533-position model. The record is from RNAcentral.
AAUCAACGCUGGCGGCGUGCCUCAGACAUGCAAGUCGAACGAGAAAGUCCCCUUCGGGGGAUAAGUAAAGUGGCGCACGGGUGAGUAACACGUAGGUAAUCUACCUUCGGGUGGGGAAUAACCCAGGGAAACUUGGGCUAACACCGCAUAAUGCAGCGGCACCACAUGGUGACAGUUGUUAAAGCGGGGGGAUUUUCGGACCUCGCGCCUGAAGAGGAGCCUGCGGCGGAUUAGCUAGUUGGUAAGGAACGGCUUACCAAGGCAACGAUCCGUAGCCGGCCUGAGAGGGCGGUCGGCCACACUGACACUGACAUACGGGUCAGACUCCUACGGGAGGCAGCAGUCGGGAAUUUUCGCAAUGGGGGCAACCCUGACGAAGCAACGCCGCGUGGGGGAUGAAGGUCUUCGGAUUGUAAACCCCUUUCGGGAGGGGAAGAUGGGAAUGGGGUAACCCAUUCGGACGGUACCUCCAGAAGCAGCCACGGCUAACUUCGUGCCAGCAGCCGCAGUAAG